AGGUUGGCUCAGAAGCAGCCAUCCUUUAAAGAGUGCGUAACAGCUCACUAGUCGAGUGACCCUGCGCCGAAAAUGUACCGGGGCUAAGCCUGAUACCGAAACUGCGGAUUGUAGGAAACUAUAGUGGUAGGGGAGCGUUGUAUACGAGCAGAAGCCGUACCGUGAGGAGCGGUGGAUUGUAUAGAAGUGAGAAUGCCGGUGUGAGUAGCGAGAUGUAGGUGAGAAUCCUACACACCGAAAGCCCAAGGAUUCCAGGGGAAGGUUCGUCCGCCCUGGGUAAGUCGGGACCUAACGCGAGGCCGAAAGGCGUAGUGGAUGGAAAGCAGGCGAAAGAUUCCUGCACCCGUAUAUGGAGCGAAGGAGUGACGGAGACGGAUAGUGUGACCCUCUUAAUGGAUUGAGGGCGAAGCGAAGCGGCUGGUUACCAGGCAAAUCCGGUAACCAAAAGGCUAGAGCGUGACAGGUAAGCGAAAUCUUCGGAAAGUAGCGAAGCACAUGAUGACGGCUUCCAGGAAAAGCUUCUGGCAAUGCAUAUGCGGCCCGUACCAAAACCGACACAGGUGGGCAGGGAGAGAAUCCCGAGGUGAGCGAGAGAACUGUUGCCAAGGAACUCGGCAAAAUGACUCCGUAAGUUAGCGAGAAGGAGUGCUUAAGCAAUUAAGCCGCAGUGAAGAGGCCCAAGCGACUGUUUAACUAAAACACAGCUCUCUGCGAAGUCGCAAGACGAAGUAUAGGGGGUGACACCUGCCCGGUGCUGGAAGGUUAAGAGGAUCUGUUAAGAGCGAUCUGAAGCAGUGAUCCGAAGCCCCAGUGAACGGCGGCCGUAACUAUAACGGUCCUAAGGUAGCGAAAUUCCUUGUCAGGUAAGUUCUGACCCGCACGAAAGGUGUAACGAUUUGGGCGCUGUCUCGGCAGCAGACUCGGUGAAAUCUUAGUACCUGUGAAAAUGCAGGUUACCCGCAACUAGACGGAAAGACCCCAUGGAGCUUUACUGCAGCCUGAUAUUGAAUUCUGGUCAUACAUGUACAGGAUAGGUGGGAGACAAAGAGACGUGCACGCCAGUGUACGAGGAGUCGACGUUGGGAUACCACUCUUGUGUGACCGGGGUUCUAACCUGGUAUCGAGAACAGGUACGGGGAGAGUGUCAGGUGGGCAGUUUGACUGGGGCGGUCGCCUCCCAAAGAGUAACGGAGGCGCCCAAAGGUACGCUCAGAUUGGAUGGAAACCAAUCGUCGAGUGCAAUUGCAGAAGCGUGCUUGACUGUGAGACAGACAAGUCGAACAGGGACGAAAGUCGGGAAUAGUGAUCCGGCGGUGCCGAAUGGAAGGGCCGUCGCUCAACGGAUAAAAGCUACCCUGGGGAUAACAGGCUGAUCUCCCCCAAGAGUCCACAUCGACGGGGAGGUUUGGCACCUCGAUGUCGGCUCAUCGCAUCCUGGAGCUGUAGUCGGUUCCAAGGGUUGGGCUGUUCGCCCAUUAAAGCGGUACGCGAGCUGGGUUCAGAACGUCGUGAGACAGUUCGGUCCCUAUCUGUUGUGGGCGAAGGAGAUCUGCGGAGAGCUGUCCUCAGUACGAGAGGACCGGGAUGGACCUACCGCUGGUGCACCGGUUGUUCCGCCAGGGGCAUAGCCGGGUAGCUAAGUAGGGAAAGGAUAAGCGCUGAAAGCAUCUAAGCACGAAGCCUACUCCAAGAUGAGAUCUCCCAUUCGCAAGAAGUAAGACCCCUUAAAGACGAUAAGGUAGAUAGGCCAGGGAUGGAAGUGCAGUGAUGUACGGAGUUGACUGGUACUAAUCGGUCGAGGACUUAAUCAG
Molecule: ribosomal RNA, 1811 nt
Filed under: human gut metagenome
Description: bacterial LSU rRNA
Rfam family: Bacterial large subunit ribosomal RNA
Source: RNAcentral